Molecule: non-coding RNA, 24 nt
Filed under: Arabidopsis thaliana (thale cress)
Lineage: Eukaryota; Viridiplantae; Streptophyta; Magnoliopsida; Brassicales; Brassicaceae
Source: RNAcentral
AGUAAUAAAUGGAUCAGAGACCCA